AAGAGUGAAGGAGGCUGCUCCUAGUCCGAGAGGACCGGAGUGGACGAACCUCUGGUGUGCGGGUUGAGUCGCCAGACGCAUUGCCCGGUAGCUAAGUUCGGAAUCGAUAACCGCUGAAAGCAUCUAAGGGGGAAGCGAGCCCUGAGAUGAGUCGUCCCUAAUUCUUUAAGUAUCCUAAAGGGUUGUCGGAGACUACGACGUUGAUAGGACAGGUGUGUAAGUGCUGUGAGGCAUUGAGUUAACUGUUACUAAUUGCCGGUGAGGAUUAACCAUACAACACCCAAGGGGUUU
This 291-nucleotide ribosomal RNA is filed under the name Vibrio parahaemolyticus. RNAcentral's name for it is "partial 23S ribosomal RNA". It matches the Rfam family "Bacterial large subunit ribosomal RNA", at positions 2658 to 2925 of the family's 2925-position model. The record is from RNAcentral. Lineage: Bacteria; Pseudomonadati; Pseudomonadota; Gammaproteobacteria; Vibrionales; Vibrionaceae.